CGCCUUGCCAGCCCGCUCAGAAACUUAAAGGAAUUGACGGGGGCCCGCACAAGCGGAGGAGCAUGUGGUUAAUUCGAUGAUACGCGAGGAACCUUACCUGGGCUCGAACGUAAGAUGACUGUAGGUGAAAGCUUACAUCUCUUCGGAGCAUUUUACGAGGUGCUGCAUGGUUGUCGUCAGCUCGUGCCGUGAGGUGUCGGGUUAAGUCCCAUAACGAGCGCAACCCCUACCUUUAGUUGCCAUCAGGUAAUGCUGGGGACUCUAAAGGAACUGCCUACGCAAGUAGUGAGGAAGGCGGGGAUGACGUCAAAUCAGCACGGCCCUUACGUCCAGGGCUACACACGUGCUACAAUGGCCGAUACAGAGGGCAGCUACCUGGUGACAGGAUGCAAAUCUCCAAAGUCGGUCUCAGUUCGGAUCGGAGUCUGCAACCCGACUCCGUGAAGUUGGAUUCGCUAGUAAUCGCGCAUCAGCCAUGGCGCGGUGAAUACGUUCCCGGGCCUU
RNAcentral lists this ribosomal RNA (504 nucleotides) under uncultured Sphingobacteriales bacterium. Its description in RNAcentral is "bacterial SSU rRNA". It matches the Rfam family "Bacterial small subunit ribosomal RNA", at positions 903 to 1382 of the family's 1533-position model. Lineage: Bacteria; Pseudomonadati; Bacteroidota; Sphingobacteriia; Sphingobacteriales. The record is from RNAcentral.